GACGACGGAGAUCAUCUUGUUCUGCGGACCGCCGCUGGUCAUGAUGUAGAACUGGUCGAAGGCGAGGAUCGAGCCGGUGACCGAAAGGAUGAGCGCCAGCGCCAUGGUCCGGCGCAUCAGGGGCAGCGUCAGGUGGCGGA
RNAcentral lists this small RNA (140 nucleotides) under Sinorhizobium meliloti 2011. RNAcentral describes it as "putative ncRNA". The record is from RNAcentral. Lineage: Bacteria; Pseudomonadati; Pseudomonadota; Alphaproteobacteria; Hyphomicrobiales; Rhizobiaceae.